AAGGAUUUAAGUUAAAAAAACUCAUAACCUUCAAAGUUAUAAAUAAAGAAAAGCUUUAAGCCUUA
RNAcentral lists this transfer RNA (65 nucleotides) under Iberoporus pluto. Its description in RNAcentral is "tRNA-Trp". Lineage: Eukaryota; Metazoa; Arthropoda; Insecta; Coleoptera; Dytiscidae. The record is from RNAcentral.